UACGUGGGGUGCGAGCGUUGUCCGGAAUUAUUGGGCGUAAAGAGCUCGUAGGCGGUGUGUCACGUCGUUCGUGAAAACCUGCAGCUUAACUGUGGGCGUGCGGUCGAUACGGGCAUCACUGGAGUUCGGCAGGGGAGACUGGAAUUCCUGGUGUAGCGGUGAAAUGCGCAGAUAUCAGGAGGAACACCGGUGGCGAAGGCGGGUCUCUGGGCCGAUACUGACGCUGAGGAGCGAAAGCGUGGGGAGCGAACAGG
This 254-nucleotide ribosomal RNA is filed under the name uncultured bacterium. Its description in RNAcentral is "partial 16S ribosomal RNA". It matches the Rfam family "Bacterial small subunit ribosomal RNA", at positions 524 to 776 of the family's 1533-position model. The record is from RNAcentral.